Non-coding RNA from Acanthosepion pharaonis, 114 nucleotides. The record is from the annotation of a GenBank genome assembly. NCBI's taxonomy places the organism in Eukaryota, Metazoa, Mollusca, Cephalopoda, Sepiida, Sepiidae.
UUACGGCCACAUCAUGUUGAAGCACCAGUUCCUCUACGAUCAGUGAAGUUAAGCAAAACCGAGGAUGAUCAGUAUCUAGAUGGGUGACCGCUUGGGAAUGCCAAGUGCUGUCAG